Molecule: ribosomal RNA, 497 nt
Filed under: uncultured bacterium
Lineage: Bacteria
Description: partial 16S ribosomal RNA
Rfam family: Bacterial small subunit ribosomal RNA
Source: RNAcentral
GAUGAACGCUGGCGGCGUGCCUAAUACAUGCAAGUCGAGCGAACAGACGAGGAGCUUGCUCCUCUGACGUUAGCGGCGGACGGGUGAGUAACACGUGGAUAACCUACCUAUAAGACUGGGAUAACUUCGGGAAACCGGAGCUAAUACCGGAUAAUAUAUUGAACCGCAUGGUUCAAUAGUGAAAGACGGUUUUGCUGUCACUUAUAGAUGGAUCCGCGCCGCAUUAGCUAGUUGGUAAGGUAACGGCUUACCAAGGCAACGAUGCGUAGCCGACCUGAGAGGGUGAUCGGCCACACUGGAACUGAGACACGGUCCAGACUCCUACGGGAGGCAGCAGUAGGGAAUCUUCCGCAAAGGGCGAAAGCCUGACGGAGCAACGCCGCGUGAGUGAUGAAGGUCUUCGGAUCGUAAAACUCUGUUAUUAGGGAAGAACAAAUGUGUAAGUAACUAUGCACGUCUUAACGGUACCUAAUUAGAAAGCCACGGCUAACUACGUG